This 1400-nucleotide unclassified non-coding RNA is filed under the name Hevea brasiliensis (rubber tree). Lineage: Eukaryota; Viridiplantae; Streptophyta; Magnoliopsida; Malpighiales; Euphorbiaceae. The record is from RNAcentral.
CCUUUGAUUUUCUAUUCUUCUCUCGGUCUUUGCCUUUGUGUUUGUUACCCUUACCAUCACUUCCCUUGUGUUUACUCUUCUCUUUCCCCUCCAUCUGCUUCUCAGCAUCCUUCUUCUCCACCAACUUGACAACUCCUUCAACUCUUUCUUGGGCCAUGCCAACGAAAUUUUGAUGAAAUGCCCUUCCCAAACCUCUUGUAUCAAAAUGAUUUCUCUGCCCAUUGAUUUUCCUAUGAUCUUCAUUCUUAUUCUUAAACUUUUCUUUUUCCUCAGAUUGAUUGCCAAUAUUUCUUUCCACCACCAUUCCCUGUAUCUCACCUCUUCUUUGAUCUGUGGCAACAACCUUCUCAAACAUUUGGCUCCCUGAUGCUCUAUCUUCAUCCUUAAUUCUUCUGGCCAAUUCCUGCACGCAUAAAGAAUCCUUGAUCUCAUUAUUCUGCAGGCUCUCUGAACCAAACUUUUGUCCAUCAUAAAAGCCUGGUUGCCAUUCAACUUUCUUCUCAUCUGAAGUCCGGUUUUUUUCUUUAUCUCUAUCCUUGUCUUUGUGCUUCUCUUUUCGGUCUUUCUUUUCUCUAUUUUUCUCUUUACUUCUAUCUUUAUCCCUUUUCUCUUUACCCUCCCUCUUUUCUUUCUCCUCCUUAUCCUUUUUGUGCUUUUUCUCCUUAUUCUUCUCCUUUUUAAGUAAUUCUGUAUCAUCAAUUCUAGCCUUCUUUUCAUAUCCUGGAGGCGGAAAUGGAAAGCAGCGAGACAUUGCAGGUGGUCCUUGAAAUGGCAAAGUGGGAUCUAUCCACAGAACAAAGGGCUUCUUCUAGAAUCCUGUACUGUUGUUCCAACACGGGAACAGACCAGAAUCUAUGCUCUCGUCCAUGCACCAUGUCCUUGCAGUCAUUUCCAGCCUAAAAAAUCAAUCCAUUGUCUUCCAAAAUACCUCCCAGACCAAAAUUUUUAAUUAUCCUCUUAUUCACAAAUACACUUCAGGAGUUGCCCAGUGUAAACUAAACACUUGACUUAAAAAAAUACAAAUAAAGCUUAUAUGCUCGAUUCCACUGCGAUAAACAAUGAACUAGCUCCAAAAAUGACCAGAUAAGCGGAAAUCAAUCUAUGUCAAUAUGAAAGAAUUCUUCUGAAAAAUGCUGAAGCUUCAGAGCUAUCUGAUCCUGGCGUUUGCCACUGGGCCAACAGACAAAUCAGAACCUUGUGUAUACUUCAGCUUUGCUAUGCGGCUAAACAGAGGAAUUCACUUUCACAGAUUCAAUGUGCAGAUCCAAGUGCAUAUUAACUAAAAACUAACUAUACAAUCCAAUUCUGUACAUACAACAUCAAUCUCUGAUCAUCAUAACCCUAAUAGUCCAAAAAUUUGCGAUUAGGGUUGCCAUAGUGACGAUCCGAUGAAAAUCCUG